RNAcentral lists this ribosomal RNA (279 nucleotides) under uncultured bacterium. Its description in RNAcentral is "partial 16S ribosomal RNA". It matches the Rfam family "Bacterial small subunit ribosomal RNA", at positions 1105 to 1382 of the family's 1533-position model. The record is from RNAcentral.
CCAUCACUAGUUGCCAUCAGGUAACGCUGGGAACUCUAGUGAAACUGCCGUCGUAAGACGUGAGGAAGGAGGGGAUGAUGUCAAGUCAUCAUGGCCUUUAUGCCCAGGGCUACACACGUGCUACAAUGGGGCGUACAAAGAGCAGCAACACAGUGAUGUGAAGCCAAUCUCAAAAAACGUCUCUCAGUUCAGAUUGAAGUCUGCAACUCGACUUCAUGAAGCUGGAAUCGCUAGUAAUCGUAUAUCAGCAAUGAUACGGUGAAUACGUUCCCGGACCUU